This 795-nucleotide long non-coding RNA is filed under the name Salmo salar (Atlantic salmon). RNAcentral describes it as "lncRNA (ENSSSAG00000084336.1, ENSSSAG00000087286.1)". The record is from RNAcentral. Lineage: Eukaryota; Metazoa; Chordata; Actinopteri; Salmoniformes; Salmonidae.
CACUUACUCCUCAUCCAGGGAACUCCGUGCAUGACCAGAGAUCCAGCACAAGAGCCAUGUGUGACACCCUGUGCUCAGACACUCACCAAUGCUUCAAUGCUACUGUUCAACAGCAGUGCUCAAAAGAUUUUAAAGUGCUACUGAACACCAGUUCUGGGUUCAAAGUGGUGGAGGGUGCUGACCUCAUCAUUGAGUGUGCCCAUAACCUGCCGGUGGAACCAAAAAUCCCGCUGGUGUUUGUCUGGCUGAUGGAUGGCGUCUCCCUGACGGGCGAGAACAGUAGCCAGCUCACCGUGAAGAAGGUCGGCAUAGCUACCUCUGGCAAGAAUAAAUACGCCUGCACCAUCCAGAGUCCCUGUGGCAACUUCACCUCAGAUCCAAAGGAGAUUGAAUUUGAAGACACGACGCUGUUGGUCAUAGUGAUCUGUGGUGUGUCUGCUGUGGUGCUGAUCCUGGCCAUGGGUAUAGGCAUGAAGAUCAUGCUGAAGAAGGAAUUUGCAAAGACCAAGAACAGGAGGCAGCAGAAUGCUCAGAACCUACAGAGAACUACCACAACAGAGUAGUGUUUCAUUUUCUGCAAAUUCCACCAAAUGUCCUUCAUGCGAAAAUGGCAAAAAUCUGACAUGAUUACACUGUGAAUGGAGAAAUAUGUAGCUAACAAUUUAUAGUUGUAUUUGCUGCAAUUUAAUCAACAUAACACUGACGUUGAGAUAAUUUUAUGAUGGAAGAGCCACAGAUGCAUAUGUUAAUCCUCUGGCAGUGACACACAGCUAGUUUGGAGAUUUGUCCCAAUAA